Long non-coding RNA from Mus musculus (house mouse), 31280 nucleotides. RefSeq annotates it as predicted gene, 57842. The record is from RefSeq and is a predicted model, not a curated record. Lineage: Eukaryota; Metazoa; Chordata; Mammalia; Rodentia; Muridae. The transcript is spliced from 2 exons.
CUGUCUCUGCUGUCUCAGGGCUAUACAGAGAAACCCUGUCUCAAAAAAGAAAGAAAGAAAGAAAGAAAGAAAGAAAGAAAGAAAGAAAGAAAGUAAGUUCUUCCCAUUUUCUCCCCUAACAUGUCCUCCUCCUCUUCUUUAUAAAACUACUGAAUCCAGUUAGUGUUUUCCACAUGUACAUGAGUGUAAGGCUAUCCACUGGACCAUUGGCCACCUACUACUUGCCAUAUCCCUGAAGAGAAAUGAUUUCCCCCUCUCCUAGAAGCCAUCAGCUAAAGGUGGGUCCUCAUGAGGUCUAAUCCUCAUCCAUACUGCAGUGUAGACUGGCCUAACUUUAUGUAGAUCUUGUGCAGAUAACCACAACUUCUGUGAAUUCAUGGAUGCAAUGUCUGUGCCAUAUCUAGAGGACAUUUCAUGUACUUUUCCUCAUCCUCUGGGUCUUGAUUCUCUUCAUCUCCAUUUCUUCAGGGUUUCCCUGAGCCUUAGGAUGUUGAUCCAUGUGUACCAUUUAUAGUCGAGCACUCAAUAGAGCUUAUUCUCAGCACUUUGAUCAAUUUUAAGCCUCUGCACUAAUUGCUGCACAUUGUAAACUGAAGCUCCUCUAGCCAAGAUUAAAUGUUAUGGGUGUAAACAUAGUUAGAAAAUAGUUACAACCUUCUAUUUAGUAGAACGGCCAGCAGUGAUAGCUUCCAAACCUGGGACUGUGAUUUCCCUCAUUGUAAGUUUUGACCACAUUUACAGUGCUGUGCAUGGAUUACCUUCUAAGGAGUAAACCUCAGGACCAAUCAGAAUGCACUUGGUUACCUCUCCAACAGCCAUGCCACUAUUGCACUAGUAGCUGGCAUAGCACUUCUAGCACCAGAAAAACUAGUAAUGAAGAAAUCGUCCAGGUCAGUUCUACCAUGAUUUCUCUAUGUUCUGUAACAAAAAGGUAUUAUCUUCAGCAAUAAGGUUCCACCAACCUGGUUAUAGUGGGCAACCAAUAGCAAUGGUAAUCGUUUGUGUUGUUGUAGGGGCCUCUGGGCUUCCCUCACCAAUAACUCAUAGGGACACACUUCAGAACUGGUCCUGAGAUUUUCAUUUUAUUAACAUGUCUUCUUGGAGAAGUUUUGUCCACCCAUGUAAGGCACCUCCAUUCCAAAUCCUUUUUAAUUAUAUUUUUAAAUUAGCUUGCAAAGUAGUGGUCAUACUCUUCAGAUUUGAUUAAUUCAUCUAUUUCCCCCCCCUCCACACACACACAUCUUAAUCACCUUACCACCAGUCCUUCUAAAACUUUUAAACCCAAGGAUUUCUUCCUUCUACUUUCAUAUGGUAUGCAUUUACUAUUCUCCUUACCACUUCUCAUUGAUCCUUUCUAGCUUCUUAACUAGACUUUUCAAAAAGCUUGUGUAUAUAUAUAUGGGUAUAUGCAUAUAUUCAUGGUCUCGUACAGUGUAUGUGGAUACCAGAGGUUAACAUUAGGUAUUUUCUUCUAUUUCUACUUUAUUUGCUGAGAUAGAAUCCCUAUUGAAACUGGAUUUUGUCAAUCUAACUAGGCUAUCUAACAAGUUAACUACAACGAUCCUCCUGUCUCCACCUCACCAGCAUUACGAUUACUGGCAUGUAUUAUAACAUCCAGUGUUUAUGUGGGUGCUGGUUAUACCAAUUCAAUAACUAAUGCCUGGGCAGAAAGCAUAUUACUGAUUGGGCCAUUCUUCAGUUAAUUUUUUAGAUAUUUAAAAAAAAUUAGAGAGAUUGUCUUCUUAUUUAAGACUAAAAUAUUAGAACUAAGAUAAUGUGAAGUUCCAAAGCCCUGCUUUGAAAAAUCAUAGUUUGGUGAUUGCUUUGCCCCCGUUUUUCCUAGCAUUCUGUUCUAGAAAGGGUAUUAAAGCUCUUGUCAUCGCUCUCAGGCUACUAAUUUAAUUUUUUAUAUAAAAAAAGCCUAUUUUUUUCUUUUAGAUACAGAAUCCUGUUUCUUCCAGGGCUGCUUGUGUGUGUUCAGCUAGUUCUUUGUCUCUUAUUUUUAUUUCGGAUCUUCUCCAAGACCUGAUGAUCCUGGGUUGACUUCACUUUUAUGAAUGGAGACCUGACUUCAUUAAUACUGGUAGCUGUCACAUUUUUCUGAUUCAGCCAUGUGCUUUUCUCCAAAGUGGGAGGGUUUAGGGUUGGCCCUGGGUAGAGCUUGGGGCAUGGGACUUGGCAAAUAUCCCUGCAGGGUGCAGAGUGGGUGGGGAGUCAGCCGGCCUGCUGGAUUUCCUCCAAAUUGUGAAGGCAAGAAAGAUCUGGCUUUGUUUUCCGGGCCCUAGUGUCAUUCACAGCAGAGCUGUUCUUGGUCCGUACUGCUCUUAGCACUUGUGGUUUGCCUCUCUCUGUACACUCUGGACCCCCCCCUGAUAUGCCAUCACCCUGGUAAAGCCCCCGCUUUGCACUGUCCCUGUCUUGCUGAAGACAUGGGCUUGCUUAUUACGAGCCCUACUGUCCUAACUGGGAUUUCCAACCUACAUGCUGCUGAGCUGCUCAUGGCUCUGCAGCUUUCCAGGUCUGUGCUUCUCUCGUACCUUGGGAACAGCUCUGGCCAGUGUUAGGGGCCUCCUCCCUGUGUGCUCCUCAGCUCAAAGUUCCUCUGUAGGCUCUGGCCUUCCUGUGUUCUCUGCCCUGUAGGCAGUUUAGAAAACAUAUGGUCUCCUUCUGGCACUUUUCAUUGUAUUCUGGAAUUCUUUAAUUUCACAGGGAAACGAGUGUCUGCCAUGAGUCGAUAUGAAAGCCUGGGUAGGAGGAGUCACUAAAGUGCUUGGUUGCCCAGUUCUUUCUGUGGUGGCUUGCUUCCCUUUGUGGGCUUCUCUGGGUCUGCUCACUGUUUCAUUGGGUUGAGGGUGUGCACUGGACAUGAGGAAUCUCUGAAGUCGGGUUGGUUUCCAGUGGGGGCCUCCAGCUCCCAAAAGCAUCCUCUACCCAUGUCUUCUGGAUGUUUAGAUUGGUGUCUUUCCUUCAUGCCGUUUCUUCACCUUGAAAGUUUGGUGCUGGGUAUGUUUCUGUGCCUAUUUUCAAGGGUCUAUCACCUAGUGCAUUUCCUCAGCUGUGUAACAUUUUCUUGUCACCUGGUGGCAAACGCAGGAGCUCAACUUCAGGUGACUGGAUGGGGCAGAGCCUUUACUUAACCGUCUUACUGGUGGAGGGGUCUGCUGCCUGCCCCCUUCAGAACUUGCUGUCAGUAAGCUGCUCUGGGCCUGACUUCCCACCCUUUCCCCUGUGGCAGUCUGAGCCAGCCCGAGGUAGGGAUGAGGCCUCCAGCCUCUGGCUAAUUACUUGGCCAGUCUUCUUCCAGCUCGUCUAGGCUGUGCUGCACUGAUAAUGGGAUUAUUCUUAGCUGCUGCUGGGGAGACUUUGCAGCUGACACAGGCUCCGUCUAGUUCUUCAGAUUUACCAUCAUGAUUCCUUUCAGUCUCAGAGUUUUCCAGAAAUCCACUCAGCUAUUCCAUAAGUACUUAUUGUGCAUGGCAGUGUGCUGGGUAUUAGGAAAUACAGGUUAAAAAAGAAAAGAGCGACUACCCAUGGAGGGGAGGAAACAAGCUUUAAAACAGUUAACUCAUAUACUCCAACCACAGGUUCUGUGAGGCACAGAAAAUGUCACCCUAGGGUUAUCAUGGAAAUCAGCCUGGAGCAAGUGAUAACUGACCAAAUUAGAAAGGAAGAGAAAGAAUGACCUAAUGAUGAAGACUCGGGAGAACUUAUAGAAGGAGCAGGACACACCUGCUGGUAUUGAUCCUCAUAGUUAUUUACUCUUACUGUGGAUUUGUUUUCAUUUUGAGUGUCUUCAAUAUAAAGGAACUUGAGAAGGAGAAAAAUGGACCAUCCUGAACCAGGAAACCUUAACAAAUAGUGACUUGAAGGACAAUGUAAACCAUAGGAAAUACAUGAAAACGCUCGAAGCCUGACAUAUCAUGGGACUGGGGAUGUGAUUCAAUUGGGAAAGUGUUUGCCUAGAGCAGUGGUUCUCAACUUCCCUAAUGCCAACCAUUUAAUUCAGCUCCUCAUGUUGUGGUGACCCCCAACCAUAAAUUUAUUUUGUUGCCACUUUAUAACUGAAAUUUUGCUACUGCUGUGAAUCAUAACGUAAAUAUUUGUAUUUUCUGACGGUCUUGUGUGACCUCUGUGAAAAGUGUCAUUUGACACCUCCUCCCACCCCUAAACCGAUUCAUGAUGACCCACAUGUUGAGAACUGCUGGCUAGCAUGUAUGAGUUAGGGUUAGAGAGAAGGUUAAGAGUACCUGACAUUAAGUGAACGAAAAGGAGCAUCCAUAGAUGAAGUCCUUUGGAAGAGUUUGAGAUGAGGGGAGUGGAGGACAGGGAGUGAUGUGUGGGCACAGAGCCUUGAUUCAGUCAGUUCAAUGGUACUGACUUUUACUCCUAGGUAGAAAUUAAUUUUAAAAGCUAAGCUGACAGAUUUGAAUGCUGCCUACAGCUAUGACUUGUUCACAGAGCAGCUAAAACAAUACCUUUUCUUAUCUCUAACAUGAGGAAUUUAUAAUGAGCAGUGUGAUGACUAUCUUGGUCAGAUCAAACACUGAAGCAUCUCCCUUGUGUUCCUUAUACAGUAUGAACAGAAAGAGCCCACAGGAAGGCAUUGCUACCACAUCUUCAAGGCGAUAAGACUCAAAUCACCACACUAGUUAGAGCUGACACUAGGAUUCACCCUGCAUCUCUGACUCCAGAGUGGCAGAGUUCGAUUCAGCCAUAGAAAACUGAGGGUUUUAUAGGUGAAAAGUAAUUAACAGUUUUAUUUGGUCCACCCUAAUAUGUAUCUCCGCUAAAUCGCUAACAAUGUCAGUGUUCCACCUGCUAACUUUGCCAGGUCUGGUCCCAGGCUUGUCAUUCCUGUGUUCUACCGUAAUUUUUGAAAAAUGCCUGCAGUCUUAGUUACACUGAGCUUAAAAACUGUCCUGCUUAGGUGAAUACUUGAGUAACACAGCUUAGUUUACUUUAAAAGGAUGUGUUUUGGUUAUGACAUUACUUUUCCCUGACUAUGCUGACACAAUUAUAUUUGGGGAAAGCUGCUAGGUAUAUCGGUAAAGCAUAUAGAAGGAUACACAUAUUGCAAAUCUCAUUUCUCACAAUAUAAUUAAAAAAAAAAAACUUUCUGCCUAGUGUGUGCUCCAUCGAGAGUGGUCUCCCAAGGGAGUGCUGCGGGCUGCUUCAGCUCAGCACUUUUCCUUCUGACUGUGUUUGUUGACCUCUGAUCAGCUUCAUUCUCCCAGCUAUGCAGCAUGUACAUGGGUAAGGGCAAGAACGCCCUCCCAAACCCAUGCUUUAUUUCCAAAUGCAAGUACCUGCAGACAUCAGCCAGUAUUAAUUAGGUGUAAAUCACACUGAGCGUGCAAGCAUCAGCAAGCCAUGAGAUGUAAGAAUGAAAUAGUGAAGCCUAUUAUUUUGUAUACUAACUGAAAAUAAUAAAGAAAAAUGCAGUCAUACCAUGUAACUUUGCUAAUGAAAUACUGUUGUUACAUCAUCGCAUUCUUAAAAAUUAUGAACUUAGAAAAAGGGUGAUUUUUUUUUUUAACUUUGGCAAAUAUGUUUUCAAUGAAGGUAAGAUCUGGGCUGGGGAGAGAGAGAUGGCUCAGCCAUUAAAAGCUAGGCUCACAACCAAAAUGAAGAUAAGAUCUUUAGUGUGGUAUUAGGCAAUUUGCAGUUUUUUUGAGGGGUGUCAUGGAGGUCAGAACUCAGGCUUCUUUGGCUUCAGUAUAAUCAGUUAACAUUGUGUGUACAUUUGGCAUACUUAGUAUCUGCUUUAAAAAAAAAGAUGAGUCUGAUUGUAAUGUUUCUCAUGUUGAGGACCUGAUCUUAAACACGGUGGUCUUGUUGUUUUCGUGUAACUUUUAGUUCAGGUACAAUAAUUCUUUUAAAAGGCAUGGGCAAUUAAUUAUGUGACCGCAAAAAAUAAUUUCGCCUAAGUUAAUUGCACAAAUUAUUGUAGCCCUAAAAGGUUAAUGACUGUCAAACAUCUUUGAUGCAUAGAGCCCAUUAAAUGCCACUGUCAUCUGAAUAAUGUAAAUGAGUACACCCGUCCUUCCUGGACAAAUGAGUUUCAUUCAAAGGACAACAGUAAACAGGGCCUUGCUGUGUAUUAGAGGAAGAUGUUCAGGCUCUUCUGAAGAGAACUCAAAUAAUUCAGUCCGAGGGGUCAUAAUUGAGUAUUGCAUUUUGAAAUAUAAGCCAUCAAAACCUCUUAGAUUUCAAAAGGUAAAUAGAAAUUUUAGGUUACUAAUUAUUCUCACUUCUUAGGGCUACUGAAUCACUGAGGUUUGUGAAUAAAUUAAUAUUUUUAUAGGGACUUUGCUUAGGCUUUAAAGAAUUGGGUACAGCUAAUAAGCAGGGGACUUUUUUUUUUUAAACUGGAUAUUAUCCCAAGAGCUGAGGAGAGCCCUGGAGAUUUCUGAAAUAGAAAUUCUUUUACAGCUGUAGAGAGAAUAAAGUUUUUAAUAUUAAUUUUGAGUUUGUUAACUCCUAAAGCUUCAAUUUAUUAUAUAAUUCUUAAAACUUAUCUUUAUAACCUUACUAUUACUCUUUGUGCAUGAUAUAUAGUCUAAAGGUCUUUUGUGUGUAUGUAUGAGUGUAUGUGUUUGUGUAUGUGUGUGGAAUGAAUCUGUGAGUAAGAGCAUGCAUGUGUGAGUGAGUGUAGACUUGAGAACUACCUUGAAUAUCACUCCCUAAGACCGCCACCUUUCUUGAGGGAGAAUGUCUCAUUAUUCUGGGGCUCCUCCUUGGUCAGGGUUUCUCAUUGGCUCCAGGGAUUCACCUCCUGUGUGAGCCCAGCUUUUUAAAACAUGAUAUUUGGAGAUCAAAGUCAGCUCUUUAUGCUUGUAUAGCAUAUUCUUUGCCAGCUGAGCUGUCUUCCCAGCCAUUGGACCCAUUUUUAUUUUCAGCAACAAUGUAUCCUGAAAGAUUUCAAAACCCCUAAUUCCUUUAAGAGAUGCUUUGCCAAAAAAGGAUUUUUUGGUUCAAGAAAGUUUGGAAAGACUGCUUGCCAUAUCCUUUUCUUAGAAAAGUCAUGGUAUAUAUUUAUGUAUUAAAAGAUUUGUGAAAUUCUGGGACAAACAAAUAACUGUACCACCAUCCAAAAAAUGUUUUAUAAGUUUAUCUGGUGACAGAAAUGCUCACUCUUGUUUUGUACAACAGUUUUGAACAUCUUAAGACUCCAAUGACUUCAUGUUCUGUGUAAAUGCUUUUGGAUAACCCUCUAUAUUAGUGGAUCUUGUUCUCCAACAUUCCAGUGUGGCAGCUAGGCUUAUUUGCUACAGAUGUUUCUGUAUAUGCAUAUAAACACAGCUGUGUGGAUAAGUGCACACAUUGUGAGCUUAUGAAACUUAUGCAGGCUUACACACGUGAGUGUUUGCUUUUUAAUUUUUACUUUGAUACCUACAAUCUAUAGCAGACAGUGGAAUCGGAAAAUAUGAUCAAAUCAGUGAAUGAGAAAAACAAUACCAUCAUACAUGCCUUCUCUAUUACUCCCUUCAAGAUGCACGCCACCUGCUGUCCUUGAUGACUGACCCAUAGUCCCAGCAUCUUUGACAUGCUGGGAUCUCCACUGUAACCGGGCUGCACCUUCACCGAGAGCAUGGCCUGCUUUCUUAAAUAGUGUCAAGCCUCAGUUACUCUCCGUUACCCCUUCAUGUCUUCAAAACAGGUACCACUAGGGAGACUCAAACACAUGGUCAGAUCAGGCUGCCAUGGCUUCUGUGUGCUGACCCUGAGGAAAGACUCUCGUUGACUGAACUUCAGUGAUGCUGAUCUCUUCUUAAUUACAGCUGUGUUCUCAUUCCUAGCAAACCAGUGUCCGUUGCCCCAGUAAAGCAAAGGAGCAAAGGUUGACUUUACUGAUGCUGAUUCCUCAGCUCCGGCUGACCAGCAUCAUUGAGACUCAGUCUUCUGAGAGUCUUUCCUCAGGGUCAGCACAGAGCAGGCCAAGACUGUGUCGCAGGCUAGUGACCAUCACGGGCAUCGGCAGAUAGAGAGUGGAGCUGAUAUGAGCUUAUGAGACAACUGACAUUUACAUGAGGUAAGCUGUGCUGUAGAUGGCAGAUCCAGAGACGUGGAGCUGCCCAACCCUUUGGAGCCCAGAAAAUCAUGAGUCCUAGACAUCAGACGCUGAACCAUUCACAUACACUAUUGUAGUUUUGCUUUGCUUUGAUGUGAUUGUAAUUGUGCCCUGGUUCCUCCAUCUUGGAAUAAGAAAUAUUUAACAUGUUUUUUAAAAAUUUAUUUUUGUGAAAAACUUUAAAAAAUACAUUGAAUUAUUAAAGAGAGAAUGCACUUUUAAAUAAUGGAAUAUAUUUUUUUAAGAUUGUGGGACUUCCAAAGUUACUUGUGUUUUUGUUGUUGUUGUUGUUUUUGUUUUUAUUGUGGUGUUCAUAUUCGCAUGAGAUUUUGGGAAUAAAUGAGAAAGAAAAGAAUAGUAAUAUCUUUAUGUGCUGAAUUGGCAAGGAGUCAAUUGUGUUGAUUAGUGUUUUUGUUCAUUACAUAUAAGAUAGAGUCAUAUGGGAAGAGGAAGGCUCAGUUGGGGAAUUGCCUCCAUCAGAUUGACCCAGAGGCAAGUUUGCUGGGGCAUUUUUUUUAAUAUACAUGAUUGAUAUGUGAGAGGCCUGCUCACUCUGGGCAUUGCCACCUUGGGCAGGUGACCAUAGGUAUAUAAAUGCGGACUGAGCAAGCUCUGGAGAGAAGCUAGUAACAUUUCUUCAUGGCUCCUGUUUCAGUUCCUGCCUCCAGGUUCCUGCCUUGAGUUCCUGCCCUGGCUUCCCUAGGAGUUUGUAACCUAGGAGUUAUAAAAUGAAAUCAACCCUUUUCUUGCCAAGAUGGUCUUGGUCAGACUUUUAUCACAGCAUUAGAAAUCUAAUUAGGAUACACUCUAAACCAUGAACAGAAAAAUAUGUUUUAUUUAUUAUUAUCGAAUAAUAAUGAAUGACUGUUUCUGUUGUUUACACAUGUCUAGCCUUUUCUAAGUGAACUCCUUAAGGGCAGCUUUAUGCUCACACCUCAGAUCUUUUGUAAAGAUUGGCCACUCUGUCUAGAAUGGUUUUCUACACAUAGUGCCAUACUUACUCCUUUGUGCUCUCAUAGCCCACCCACCUUAUGUGUAGAAACUGACUGGGUGCUGAGUAUCCCCUUGUAUCUUCAGUCCUUUACAGUGGAGAUUAUUAAGGUUUCAAUAGUAAUUUUGAAACUUAACAAAUUUUGCAACAAGUUUUUACUUUUUCUAUCCACUAGUUUAGAACUAAUGAAGCUACCAGAUACAUAGGUUACUCAGUAAUACUUCAAGAAUUUCAGUAAUAAAAUUUUUAUCACAAUACAUUUUUUCUUUUUUAAAUUUUUAAAAAUUUAUUUAUUUUUAAUUUAUUUUAUUAGAUAUUUUAUUUACAUUUCAAAUAUUAUCCCCUUUCCUAGUUUCCCCUCUGAAAACUCCCUAUUCCCUCCCCUCUACCCCAGCUCACUAACCUACCUACUCCCUCUUCCUGGCCCUGGAAUUCCCCUAUACUAGGGCAUAGAACCUUCACAGGACCAAGGGCCUCUCCUCCCAUUGAUGACCGACUAGGCUAUUCUCUGCUACAUAUGCAACUAGAGCCAUGAGUCUCUCCCUGUGUUUUCUUUGAUUGGUGGUUUAGUCCCAGGGAGCUCUGGGGGUACUGGUUGGUUCAUAUGGUUUUUCCUCCUAUGGGGCUGCAAACCCCUUCAGCUCCUUGGGUACUUUCUCUCGCUCCUUCAUUGGGGACCCUAUGCUCCAUCCAAUGGAUGACUGUGAGCAUCCACUUCUGUAUUUGCCAGGCACUGGCAGAGCCUCUCAAUAGACAGUUAUAUCAGCCUCCUGUCAGCAAGCUCUGAAACACUUUGCAUCUCAUAUGAAGGAAGCUGCAUUUUAAGAAAAUUAUGUUUUUGUCAGCUAGAAUAUGCCUCAGCUUUGUUAGCUUUUAGAGUUAAGUAACUUUAUGAGAACAAUCCAGAGCUAAACAGAGGUGUGCAGAGUUUUCUGUUUCUUCUUAGGUUGUUCCUAAUGUUUAGUUGUUUUUCAUGUUCAGUGCUGAAAAGUGUUCCCCCUUCUCAGGAAGUUAGGUGACUUUCCAUAAGUAUUUCCCCUCUACAGCUGUACCUAUUCUAUCUGUGGACUGUUUCCAAGGAUGCUCUGUGUCGUUAAGGAGAAUCCUGUUUAGAUCUCUUCUUGGUCCAGUUCCAAAAGGCAGGAGUGCUACUGGACCCUGUGGUUGUCCUGGGAGGCCUUCUGCUAGUCCCAAAUGAUACCAUCAUGUUUUAUGGGGAUGGGUGUUGAGCCCCCUUGACACUGUGGUCCAAGAAUAGACAAUAUGUCUUAACUGGGACAAGGUGUGGUGUUUAAAAAAUGCUUAGAGAGAGCAUGUGUCGUGACUUCAGACAUUCUGACUUGGGAGUCCCAGCAUGCCUUCCUCAGUUAGUUACCUAGCACUAACAGUGUACUUUGCAUUGAGUGCCAUGUCUUGUGGGCUGACACGUUAUUUGGAGAGGUGACCCCCUCUCGGCACAUGCCUUCUUUUCUAGGCUAAAUCUACCCCAAGCCAGGGUCUACCAUGCUUGAUUUCAGGCUGUCCAUGUUUUCAGUCUGAGAACCUUUGUUUGGGUCAUGAGUGUGGGUAGCAUAAGCCACUGACCACAGUGCCCCUACCCUGCCUUUCCUCAGUUAACGCCUAGAACUCCUCAUCUCCUCAGUGUAUGCACACAGCUCAGAGGAGAGCUUCCCCCCAUUUCCCAUCCUCCCUGAGCCCACCUUCAUGGUGAUUAUUUCUUUUCUGAAGCUUUGUCUCCUUUUUGGCACCUGGCACAGGACUCUACCCACUGCUUCCUAGUUGGAUUUUAAUAGAAUCUAGCAUCUCCCAGCAUCACAGAAGAGCCCUGUAUGCCAGCCACUGUGGAGUUCUGAAACCUAUAGUCAGAUCUCCAUGUUUUGAAGAUCAAUGCCCAUUUUUUAUCUCAUUUUCAUGUUUGCUGAAGUGUGUCAUUGCCGGAGAGGUGUGGAGAUGGGUGGCGGUGAUUAUACGUGACACGGAUGGAGUCACUUUCAUGCAUCUAUGCUGAAAAUGCUUCAAAUGGUGGUGUUAAUGUUUGUCACAAUUAAAAAGCUGAAAAUUGUAUUGCUUAAUGAAAUACUUGAUGAAGUUUAAGCAGCUUUUAGCAUAUGCCUGCAUCGUUCCAGCCAUCUUACAUAGUAGAGUUCACUUUAUCUCUCCAAUAAUGUUAUGAAGUUAUUAGCAUUGCAGUAAACUAUUUACACACGAAGAACCCAUGCUACACAGGCAGAAAGCAUAUAACACUUUCAGUAUCACCUGAACACCAUAUGGGACAGCUGCUGGGACAGGUAAACUUGAUUGUCGAAAAAUUCUAAAAAAGAUUGUUUUUAAAGCCUCUCUAAAUUGUGUGUGUGUGUGUGUGCCAAGUAUGUACAUGUACCAGAAAAGGGUGUAUCUGGAGUUACAGGCAGUAGUGACCUGCUUCGUGUGGGUGCUGGGAGCUGAAUAAACUCAGGACUUCUGCAAGAGCAGUAUGUGCUUUUGUCUACUCAAGCCAUCUUGCCAGCACCAAGGGAAUGACAUCUUAAAUGAAAGCCAUAGGACAAGAAAGUAGAUACCUGAAAGAAUUAGGGCAAGAAGAGAAUUCUAAGUGGCUGUGGAAGGGUGGGUAGCCAUCCACUCCAGAACCUGCUGUAACCCCUGACACCUGUGUGCAUGCUGCCCUCACUGAGAAGAGGGCUGCAGAUUGUCUCUGCAGGAUCAUGGCAUGUGAAGGCCACCCUGGAUCAUCUGGAUGGACUUUAAGUGCAGUGCAUGAGUCUCUAAAAGAGAAAUCAGCAAGAGACAACUUUGGCUGAAAAGGGAAGUUGAGGAAAGCUGUCAGAGGAACUGCUGCAGCUCUGCCUUUGAAGACAGCUGCAGCAGGAGGCCUUGGGCCAAGGAAUCCAGGGAGUGCCACUCUGGCAGCAUCUGGAUACAGCCUCUUGACACUAAUGUUUUGGACCUUUGGCCUCCAGUACAGGAGCAAAAUGGAUUUCUCUUGUGUUAAGGCAUACUCUCUCAGUAAUUUGUAUUAGUGGCAAUAAGAAAAGAAUGUGGUCCCUGGAAGUGGGAGGCACUUUUUAAGGAUAACAGAUCCCUAAAAAUGUGUAGAUAUAGUCAUUUGUAAAAGCUAGGGUAACUGUGAGGUUGAUAUUGCGGUAACCAGGUAGCCUUAAGCAGAUUGCUGGUAGGCUAUAGAUAUUAAAGGCUCUUUAUGGGCUCAGAGGGAAAGAGUGACUUGUCACUGGAAAGCGUAGGAACAUGGACCUAUUAGGUAGAGGUAGAAAGCUUACCCGAGUUUCCUGUACGUUGGAUGGAAAGCAGAGUUUGUGACCUGUGCACUUGCAUAUUUACACAAGAUUUCCAAGGAAGGUACAGGUGCCACAUUCAUUCUUUUUGCUGCUUUUGGUGAAAUAGAGAAGAAAUGAUAACAAUUCUAUAGAUUGCAGCUUCAGGUUGAUGUAUCUGAAUGUAGCUGCGUCCUUUCUGCCAGUUUGCCCCAGAUGACUACCUAGUGGAGAAUAAUGUUUCCUCAUAUGGUCAGAUAAUAUGACAUAUAUUAGAAUUGAAGAUUCCUCAUUAACCUUUAAAUAUUUACCACUAUGACUUCAUCAUCCAAACCAUAGAUAAGUAUUGUGAGGUUUGUCACGGUACUCAGAAGGCACAGGCAGGCAUAUCUCUGUGAGUUGGAGGCCAGCCUGGUCUACAUAGUGUACACUAGCCAGGGCUCUAAGUGAGAGCCCAUUUCAACAAAAUAAAACACCACAAUAACAUUUUUCAAAAGAAUUGUGUAUUCUCUUCUUUCCCAGACUUUAUUUGGAAGUAUCUCCUCUGUGUGGGGCUCAAGAGCAUCUCCUCCUGCCCCGUCAAAGGUUGUGGCUACCCAAGGCUCAUGAACACAGCUGUACUUGGAUGUAGGGUCUGUGAAGACAGUCUCAAGUUGAGAUGAAGUCAUGCAAGAUUAGAAUAGGCUCCGAGCAAUGACUGGAGUCCUUCCAGAUGAGGCAGGUUAUGCCUCACAGACACAUAGGGAGCGUGGCUUGUGAAAAUGGAGCCAACUGGAAUGACAGUGCCAAAAGCCAUAGGAUUCCAGCGGUUGUCUGCAUCCGCCAGGGAGGUGGUGUCUUGAUCUUGGCCUUCUCUCUUCUAGAUCUAGCAGAGAAUAUCCUUUGCCAAUAGCUUCGUGAUUUGUGGCAUUUUUAGAGCAACCACAUGGUCCUAAUACAUCUCUUGACAAGCAGAAAUUAAAUAAAGCACUCUAAUGGUUUAAAAACCUAAAUAAAAGACUUCUCUUCUAUAAAGUCUAGGUCUGCUCUGACUGUUUUUCAGGACUAGAGUUCUGCAAGUUUCACUGAGGAAUCGUAGCUCUUUAAGCAAUUCCCCAACCUUUUGUACCAGGUCAGGCUUAGAAUGGAGUUAAAAGGGCUUGGAUAUUGAAUCAGAUUUAAUAUCACACUGAGAAAGGACAAGGAAGACCUGGAAGGAAGGUUGUAUAGAGUGGCCUGUGUCUUCUGCAGUUUACUGCCUUUGUGUAAUACUUGCCCUGGGCUGGCAGGGAAAGAAAAGGGUGACGCUGUGCAAGCUAACUCUUUAGGACAUCUGCCUAUAUAUCAUUCUUUUCCUCUGAUCUGUCAGCCACACAUAGCCCUGCUUCAUUGUUGGGGCUGAGGACAGCACCAUAAGGCCAAACUACUUUUUCUAGAAAUGCUAGUAGUAGAGAUGCCUCCUUUAGAAUAGACUCAUCCCUGAAAAUUUUGCUUUUAAUUAAAGCUGUAAGUGAAAUUAUAUAUAUAUGUAUAUGUAUAUGUUAUGAUUUGCUUUUCAGUAGUCAAAUAAAAUAUUUCUUUUUUUGGUUGAAGAUUCAUUUUUAUUGAUUAUUUUAUUUAUUUACAUGUCAAAUGUUAUUCCCCUUCCUAGUCUCCCCUCAACAAACUCCCUAUCUCAUCCCCCUUUUCCUCUAAUAGGGUACUCCCUCACCCACCCACUCCUGCCUUACCACCCACUCACUCCCACCUCACCCCUCUAGCAUCCCCCUACACUGGGGCAACAAGCGUCCACAAGACCAAGCACCUCCCCUCCCAUUGAUGCCAGAUAAGGCAGUACUCUGCUACAUAUGUACCUGGAGCCAUGGACCUAUCCAUGUAUAUUCUUUGGUUGCUGGUUUAGUCCCUGGGACCUCUGAGGGGUCUGGUAAGUUGAUAUUGUUAUUCUUCCUAUGGAGUUGAAGUCCCCUUCAGCUCUUUCAGUCCUUCCCUCAAUCUUCCACUGGGGUCCCUGGGCUCAGUCCAAUGGUUGUCUGUGAGUGUCUGCAUCUGUCUUAGAUGCUGCAAGCACUUCUUGGCAUCAGCAAUAGUUUUGGGGUUUGGUGUCUGUGAAUGGGGUAGAUCCCAAGGUGGGGCAGUUUCUGGAUGGCCUGUCCUUCAGUCUCUGUUCCAAGUUUUGUCCCUGUGUUUCCUUUAGACAGGAACAAUUCUGGGUUAAAAAUUUUGAGAUGUGUGAGUGGCCCCAUCCCUCAACUGGGGGCCAUUCCUAUCUACUGGAGGUGGGCUCUUCAGGUUCUGUCUCUCCUCUGUUGGGUAUUUCAAUUAAUGUCAUUCCCAUUGGGUCCUGGGAACAUCUGUCAUUCCUGGCGUCUGAUCUAGUGGACAAUCCCCCAUUCUCUGAACCCCACUGCUGAAUAUUUCUAUUUAUUCUUCUGGCCCUCUGAACUUCUCUCCUGUCUCUUCCCAUAUUUGAUCCUGCCCUUUUUUCUCUCUCCCUCCCCUCUUCCACCCAGGUCCCUCCCUCUCUCUACCUCCCAUGAUUAUUUUGUUCCCCCCUCUAAGUGGGAUUGAAGCAUUCAUACUAUUCUAUCUAGUCAGCUUGGUCCAGGGAUCCCUUGACUCUGCUUUCGGCAUGCAGGGAUUACAGACAAGCCACUGUAGCAAACCACAUUUACAUGAGUGCUGGGGAUCCAAACUCUGAGCCUCAUGCUGGUGUAGUGAGCACUUUACCAGCUGAGCCAUCUCCCUGGUCCCAAGUAAUAUCUUUUAUCACAUAAUCACCAAGCAGAAUCUAUAUGGUAAAUGAGGUUAAAUUUAAUCACAAACAUGCAAGGCCUUUCCUGAAAUGACUGGAGCCCAGAAAGAGCACCAACAUACAUUUAUGAUGGAAUGUGCCAACAUUACAAAGAUGGCCUUGUCUUAACAUUAACUCACAAGGCUAGUUCCAGUCAGUAGCUAGACAAUGAAAACAUUUGCAUUAUGCUCAUCUUGAAACUCUAAAUAGCCAAGCAGAACAAUGCAGUGAGCCCUUGCAUUACAGCAGCUUUGAGGAUCAUCAUUGUUUGCAGUUCUAGGGUAUUAGUGUUUUGUUUGUUUUAUUUUGUUUUCUUGUUAUCCGGAUACUCCCAAGGCAGGCCCAGCAUUCCCAAAGCCUUCUUACCUAUGAUUUCUUUGCCUUGCACCCCUAACUGUUAGGUUUUGUUUCCAAUAUGAUUCUUGUUCCAUUCUGAUGAAUGAAACUCAGAGCAGACCUUAAUAUCAUCUAAUUUCCUAUCUGUAUUCAGAGUUCAGCAGUUGUUUCUGAAGGUGGUUUUUAAAGGUUGGCUUACUUUAAGGCAGUUUCAAUCUAGGUCCCUGCAUUGCAUCUGACUCUAUACAUUUAUGUAGUAGUAUUUAUCCUGGAUGGAGACCUUGCUCCCUUCCUGACUUCAUGGAGGGGAUGGCUAGGGUUUGUGCUGUCUUUACAUCCUGGUUUGUGGGAAGCUUUACUUGUGGUUUUAGUAUGCACUACUGAUUUUCCAGAACCACACUUCCUUCAUAGUCACCAGACUGCAUGUCUUACCUAGCUCAUUCCUUAUGCUUAGCUGGAAUGCUUUACAGACCUUGCCUGGGAGCUGUAUGGUUACCUUUAAAUACUCUGUCCUGGAAGGGCGGGAUGAGCGCACUUUUUUUUUUUUUUUUUUUGUUCCUUUACCAAUUUCCAGAGUAAUGAACUGAUGCCUGCUUGGCUAUCUACAGCUGAAUUACAAAUUAUCCCAAGACACCGGGGCAUGAAGCGGCAGCUGCUUUAUUAACUGUCAUGAUUUGAUAGGUCAGGAAUUUUGGAGGGCGUGACUGGGCAGUUUGCUUAUGUAGCAGGAUUUAGCAGAGGGUGAGCGGGUCUUGGAAGGGCAAGAUAGCUUUCUUCACGUGGGAAUAGUUAGAGAAGGACAUGAGGGAGGGCCCUCCGUCAGCGAGCCCAUCCAUGCCCUCUCCAGCACGUUCUCACAGCGGAAUCCCCUGGGAGCAUAUUACUCCUUAAUCCACUGAACCUCCUGGGAUGUGGCCUUGACAUCUUAGACUAUCAUUUCGAUUGUGUUCUUUUGGCCACUGAAGUCACUAAGUUUGGCUUGAUUUAAGGUGAGACACAAGGAAGGAUUGUCACAUCUUUCAUUUAAGUUGAACUUGUCACCUUUUGGUUGACUGUAUGAGCACAUUAAAAAACAAAACAGAAAACACCCCCUUACUUUCAUUGUGGCAUUUUUCAAUAUACCUGGCAUAAGAUUGUUAUUUUAAACAUUAUUAUUCUUUGGCUGGUGUUUACCAGUGUCUGCUUCUAAGUGUUCUGAACACGGCUGCUGACUUCAUCUGAGGCGCUUCCUCAUCCCUUCUCCCAGACGCUGGGGGCGUCAAGCUCCCUUUCUGUAUUUAUUCAUCUUCCUGUUCUAGAAGCUUCAAAUAAGUGGGACAAUGCAGCUUACUUCAUUUUGUAUGUGAUGUAUUUCCUUUGGCACACAUUGACAGCAUGUACCAUAAAUUCAUGCUUUGGGGAGUGGUGUCAUUUUUGUGUAUUGAGACAGGGCCUUUUAAAUACUCUGGGCUGUGUUUGAACUUCUGUGAUCCUCCUGCCUCAGCCUCUCGGGUGGUGAGACUUGGUGUGUACCAUCAUGCCUAUCUCUGUUUCCUUUUUAAACUGGAUAAAAUUAAAAUGUGUGUACGUGUCACCUUUCCUGCAGUGAACACUGGUUUACAGGCGCCAUUUUUGAAUCUGUUAUAGUUCUUUCAACUUUAUACCCAGGAGUAGAACCGUGCCGUCGUGUGGUCACAGUGUCCCGCUUUAUGAAGACGGCUAACACAUUUUCAGUAGUGAGCACACCAUUGUCCCUACCUAGGUUGUACUCAGAUUGCAAUUCAUACACAUCCUUGCCAACAUUUGUUUUUGUUUUCAUACACAAGAGCCAUGUUAGCAGAGAGGCAUCUCUGCAGACAGGGAUGCUCACUGCAGUUGUGGUUUGAGUAAAAAAGUUGGAAAACAACUGGACUAUUUAUCAUGAGAGAGCAUAUACCUAAGGCAAACACACAGCAGUUAAAUCUAACAGGCUUGUUGGCCAUCUAGCCUCUAGGUUUAGGUCUGUAAGUAAAAGUUGUCUGGAGAGGAUAUAAAUCCACAGAACAGCUCGCACAUCCUUGUUGUGGCACCGUUGCCUAGAUUGUCCUAUUACUUUGAAAAACCACCUUGAUACACAAAAUUGAAAUUUCAUUUAAAUUGCCAUUCAGAGCUUAUAGUUACAUAACUGUGAGAAGCCAUUAUUGUCUAUGCUGGGAACGUUGAUGAUAUUCAUGCAGGCUCCAUUCCGUGCAGCAAAACUCUCAGAAACAAACAGAAUGGCCAGUAGGAAGGGAAUAGAUGAAUCAAUGACACAUUUGUGCCAUGGAAUAUGACAUAGCGAGCACAUGGGGGAUGUAGCUCCUUACUAAGGCUUUAAAAACAAUUUAAUAGAGAGAGGUGUGCUUUACAUAUCAUGAGGUUCAUCUAUUGCAAGCACACAGUUGACUUGUAUGACCACCACUCUAAAGGUUUGAAAACAGUUAAAUUCACUCCUAUCUAUCAAUGAGUCCUCCUAUAGAUAACUGUUUCUGUCUUCGAGAACCCCUAAGUACCUACUGUUCUACCUUCCUCUUCCUAUAAACUCACCUUUCAGUGGUUUUUUUAGAAAUGGUAGCAUAUGGUGUGCCGGUCUCUUGAAUCUAGCUCAUUUCAUCAUGAAUAUGGUUUUUAAACUUUUUUUCUGCAACCAGAUCAUGUGUCAGCAAUCUGUAUCUCUUUAUUUUAUUACCGAAGAGUGUUUUGCUGUGUAGAUAAAACAAAUCUCUCUCUCUCCAUUCAACAGUUGAUGCAUAUUUUGUUUUAUUUGUCAAGUUUUAGUUAUUAUAGAUUGGGCUGCUUUAAAUCUUUAUGUGGUGAAUCUCUCUCUGUAUGUGGAAAAAAAUAUUUAAUUAUCCCAAAAAUAGACAGACUUGCUGGAUCACGUGGUCGCUUUGUAUUUACACAUUUGAGAAACUGAGAAACCGUAGUCCAACCUGGUCUGUACUUCCAUUUCUGCUAUCAGUGUGUGGAGGGUUCUGCUGUUUCAGUCUUUCAAGCUCAUGGUACUAUCUGCCUUGAGUGUCCUAGUGUAUGACAUCUUUUCCUGCAACUGUCACCUGUUCUCAAUCCCUGCUUUGGUGAAAUAUCUUCAUAUUUUGGUUCAUCCCCUGCCAUGGCAGUUUUUCUGCAUGUAGUUACUUAUAUGAUGCGGACCAUGUGAGCAUGCUCUCUCAGUCUGUUCUUUGCUUCAUGGUGUCAUAAAUGAAAAUAUACAUUUUGAUAAGGUUUAAUUUAUCAAUACAUUUUCUUCCAUAGUCUGGGCCUUUAGUAUUCUGUGUAAAAAAUGAUUAGCCUCAAUUAGAUAGUGAAGGCUUCUGAGCCAGUGGUCUUUCUGAGUUAGUAUCCAUGCACGUUGUUUGGAGGGAGGGCAUCUCAGAUCAUCUUUUUGAUGUCUAUUUCCUGGUUUUAUCUGUUAAGACAUCUCCUUUCUUCUGGUGAAUCAUCUUGGCACCUUCUUUAAAAUAACCGUUCUACCUUAAAUGUAUGGCUUUUUUCUAGAUUCUUAUUCUUUAAUGACUUCUCUUUUUGUGAGUACUAACCUGACUUGAUUGUUGGAUCAUGAUAGAAAUUUCAAAACUGAAAGUCCUCCACAUAGACUUAAUUAUUCUAAAUGUUUCACACUCCCAUACACAAUUGAAGACCUGCUUGUCAAUUUCUUAAAAGAAUUUUCUUGAAUUUUAAUAGGAAUGGUUUUGAACCUAUAGAUCAAUUUUGGGAGAAUGAACACCUAAAUAAUAUUGGGCUGUUAUGACCUUUGUAUGUUGGAUACUUUAUCAUUUUUCAAAGUCUUUAACUUCCUUCUACAGACAUUUGUAAAUUUUAGGGUGAAAAUCUUUCAAUUCAAUUAAAUUUAUUUGUAUAUACACCACUAGUGUGAAUGGAAUUGUACUAUAAUUUCACUCAUCUUUUAUUGUCAUACAGAGAAACACAGCUGGUCAAACAUUUUAUUACAUUUAUUCAUUUGUGUGUAUUAAUUUGUAUAUGUUGUCAUCCCAACCUGUCAGAGGAUAGUAUGUAGGAACCACUUCUUCCCACCGUGUUGUCCAGGGAAUUGAACUCGGGCCAUAUGUCUUUUCCCCUCUGAGGCACCUCACCAGCCUCUGCAUUUGAUACUUUCAGAUGAUUUCAUGAUGGGCUGCCAUCAUGAAAGAGGUGUCAGAACUGUGUUCAUUUCCUUCUCUUCUUAGCCUGUGUAAUCUCAGUUGAUGUCCUGUUGAGUUUGCUGGUUCUUCUGCCACUUGGUCUGUGAGUUGUUCCCUAGUGCAAGCAUUUCCUUGAUUGUUUUACUUUCCAACUUUAGAGUUUGUUUGCUUUCUUUUAAUAAUGUCUACUGCUUUUACAAUUUUUCCCCUGUGAGAUAGUAUUCUCACACUUUAGUUUUUUAGACAGCACUGCACAUAUUUGUGAUCAUUGCCUUAACGCUUUUGUCUUACAUCCUUUAUCUGGGCUUCCUCGGGGACAACGUCCAUCCUCUGCUUCUUCCUGCACUUAGACAAUGCUCUGUGUCUUUGCAUGUCUCAUUGUUUGUUGGAAAUUUUAGAUGACUCACUGUAUAGAUUUGGAGACUCCACACCUUUGCAGGGUGUCUUCUGUUACUGUGGUAACUGUGUGUGUUACUGUCGUGAGUGACUUGUGUAUCCUGUACUUCUCUGAUGAAGUCACCUCUCUGUACUGUGUGUGGCCUCUGAAGUUUCUUUCUUGGUUUGUUUAUUAGCAAGUAAAUGAGCAGACAAAGACUUGUGAAAUCGAUUUUACCAAUAAAUGUCUCAGUCAUCUGGGGGGCUGUGUGUUUGUGCUGGCCAUUCCUCUGUCAGAUAGAUUAGGAAUCUGCUUUAGUCUUUACUCUCUGGUUCUAUGGGACUUAAGGUCAUCAGCAACUGAGAGGUUAGGGGACUCCCAGAUCUCCCUGGUCAUUCACAUAACCUCACAGUAGUGCAUGGAGUUCUAAUGUCCCUUGUAGACAUUUAAUUUCAUGAACCUUCCUUUUAAGUUUUUGACCUGACUCUUGUUUGCCCAGCUGGUAUGGCACACUUAAUAGCUGUGAUGUUAAUCAAUUGUAGCUGAUUGUUUUUGACAAAAGCCCCAGAGACUGGGCUUUUUCUGCUGAGUAAGCUCUCCUGGACAUCAAAUAAUGUUAAUGCUCUGUGAAUUGGGCUUUCCCACGGAGCUGGAGGGUCAAAGAGCUACAGUGUUGGAGUUGGUGCUUUUUUUUUGCAGAGUUCUGAGCCUGGCGUGUUUUCCCUGUGGCUCCAGGAUGGAGCAUUCUGUGUAUGCUGUGGCUGAGAAGCGGCUACCACAGAGCUUCAGAGAAUGGAUGCCCUAGGUCAAGUGAAAAUGCCAUAAACCAAGCUGCCAACAGAGCAUCAGCGUUUUUUCCUUGACUAAUGCCGUAGGUUGUUGUUUCUCUUUGGUUAAUUUCUAGAACUUUGAAAAUUCUGUGUUUGAAGACUGUCGCUGCAUUUUUAUCAUUUCUGCAAGUAAAAGCAUUUCUGGAAGCCAUCACCAUUCAGAAGUUUCAGCCCCAUACAGAUGAAUUUUAAUAACAAAUGAACAAAGUAAGUCCUGAAGACUACAACCCAUUUUAUAAAUAUAAUACAAUACAAUAUAACACAAUACAAUAAUAAAUACAAUAUGAUUUUUAUAAACUUUUUAUAAUCUUUUGAACAUAAAUAUUAAGUAAGCCCUGAAGACAUCAACCUAUUUCAUAAACAGGACUGAAAUGCAUAAAUCAAUGGUAUUUAAAAUAUACUUAACAUCUGUAUUGUACCAAGGUAUUGAUGGUCAUAAAACUAUGCAAAGUAUAGGGUUCCAGAUGGUAGUUACCCAUUGGGUAGCAGGCUCAGGUGUGAAGGGGUUUUACACAGGAAUAUAUGUAGUCUCCCACUUUAUCUCUGGGGGACACAUUUUAAGGCCCCUAGUAGAUGCCUGAGAAGUCAAAGCAUGGAAUCCACUGUAUUAUUAAAGCUAGCUUGGUAACCACGAUGUACUGCAAUAGACUAUUCAAAACCUACAGCUGAUUUUCAGACUUCUUCACUGGACCCUUUUGAGCCAUGGUCACCUGUGGGAAAAUGAGAUCAUGCAAAGGAAGUCCACAGACCCUGAGGUAACUGUUGUAAUACAAGAUUCUGUUUACAUCUUGGAAUGGUGGCUCCUAGUUUCUUCCCACAUCACUGAAAAUUUGGCAUAAGUAGGCAGUUCAUGUUUUUGUUGUUGUUUUGUUUCUUUCACAUUAACAGAGCAAAGAAAGAAUCUGAUUACACAAGAGACUGACCUUCAAAGACAUGUUGGCCAGAGCAUUGCUUAGGAAGCGAGCUCAAGGUUUCCAUGGGCCUGCCCAGUUGGCCCAAAUCCAGUGUCUGACCAGGCCGGAGAUAAGGGGGAUAGGAGUGAUGGUAGCAAGUACCCCUGUGAGGUGAGCAGUCACAGAACACUGUCCUGGUUAGAUCCCUGCGGUUACCUGUAGCCUGACAGCCCUCUGCUCUCUGCUGUACCCUGAGGAGUAAGCCCAGAGUGCUAACUGUCCAGCAGCAGCGCAGAUCAUGCUCCCCUCCACAGGUCCAUUCUUGAUGUUGUUAGCCUCUGGUACCAACACCCGAGGGGUUGCUUUAGGGUGACCGUAUGACCAAGGGUUUGAGCGAUUCUCAAAGCUCAGAGUAUGCAGAGCUGAACAUGAUAUGGAUGCAAAAUCUGAAUUAGAGAAAGUUAAAUAAAGUUUUCUCACUUCAAAGGAUAUUUGUGUUACAGUGAAAGACUCAAUGGGUAGCCUUUAAAAAUAGGGUUGCUACCAUUCAGUAAGGUUUGGUUGAAAGCGUUUUCUGUUUGUUUGUUGUUUGUUUUAGAGAGAGAGAAAAAGAGAGGGGAGGGAUAGAGAGAGAGAGAGAGAGAGAGAGAGAGAGAGAGAGAGAACACUUGUAGCAUCAAACAGUAGUUCCUAAACAUUCCUGGAUGGUCUGACGUUGUGGCCCCACCAGGCCAAACUGUCCCUAGUUCACUAGAUGCUAAGACCGGGUCUGAUCCAUUCUUAUCCUACUAUGAGCAGUAAAGAUACUUUUUGAGCCUUAGCUUUACUGUCUGAUCUGUGGGAUGAUAUUGUGUCUGUGUAGUGGCUUUAAUACUUACUAAUAUUAGAAUGUACAACUUAUCUCUUAUUUUCUCAGAAACUCAGAUUGUAAAGUACCCAUUUGAAUGCUGGUCAAAAUGUGAGCAAAUGCCAUUUGCACACAUGCAUAAUCAUUAGAAUGUACCAUUAAUCAGCAGCCUGCACCGGAAGGCCAGCGCAUGGCCCUGCCCUUAGCUCUGUUCAUGCUUGUGUGUAUUUAUGGUGCUGCUUCAGUAUCUGCCAAUUAGGAAGAAAGAACACCUGCUGUAGGUGUCCCCUGAGCUGGCCAUUGUAGGAAGCAGGACAGAAGCACAACGUGGCCCCACUGUCGUGGAGCUCAGUGUGGUUUGUGAGAUGUGGCUUUCAUGUGAAUCAUUUGCACCAAAGCAGCACCAUUUAAAGAAAAUAACAUACAGAAAAUAUGCACAUAAAGAGCAGAGAAAGAGGAAGCUCGGCAUGGCAGCGUGUGGCUCAGUAGCAUGUAUGGAGGACGUGUCAAAAAUAUGCUUCUUAGGGGAGGCUUUAAUGAGGACUAAAGCACUGAGCGACGGUAAUGCUCAGCCCGAGAACAAUGGCAGGAGGACUUCAGCAGUUUUUAUUGUGUCUUCCUAAGAAAAUUACUUGGAAGCACAAUAUUCAUUUUUGAAGAGGGAAAGACUAAGUGUAAGGAAAGAAAUUUCUCCUAAAUACUAUUAUAAAGUUUGAGCAUUUCUAUUAUGAUUUUAUGACCUCCCAUCUGUGGUAGAUGCUUUAUUGAGAUUAUUGGGAUGUUACCAUCAAGCUGUGACAACGAUGCUUUAAAGGUCACACACAAAACACAAUUAAAUUUUCCAAGUGGAAUAGGAAUAUGCAUUGUGAAAGGCAAAUACUUUGAAGUAGUUUUUUUUUUCCCCGAGUGGGCCAUUUCACGAUGACAUUUUGAGGUGCUUAAAUAAAUCACAAUGUUGUUUUUCUUCUUGAUUGCAAUUUUCCCUUAUCUAUUUGUAUAGCUUAAAAAUAGAAACUGGCAUACUCAAGUCUCAAUGUUAUUGAGCCUAUUAGUUAAUAUAAACUUUAUCCGAAACUCAACAAUAGAUUUCAUUGUAACCGUGGAAACUUAUUGUGGUUCUUUCGCUCUUAUACAAGUGUGAGGAUGUCUGGUUGAUAGAGACUGAGUUAUUCAUACUUUGGCUUGUUACAAGCUGGAUAAUCCGACAUUUCCACAGACUUCUCAUCAGCAUAUUCAGUAGGAGAACCCUUUAUUUUCAAAACCUGUUAUUCUGUUUUAUUUGCCUUUUUUUCCUUUGUCAUUCAUGAAUGUAAUGAGUGAUUGUUUCACAAUUACUAAAACAAAUUUAGUUUCUCCAGUCGUUUGUGCCUCAGUGUCUUUAUCUGAAAAAUGAGGAUGAUCUUGGGAUAGGUGAAAGUUUGUGGAAACAUUAAGAACAACAGAUGAUGUAAAAUGUUGGAAACUGAGCCUGAUAAGAUAGGCCACCCAGUAAUGCACUUGCCUCACAAGUGUGAAGACCUGAAUUCUAUCCCUAGCAUACAUGGGAAAAGUUAAGUGUGGUGGUCUGUGUUUAUUAUCCCAGUGCUGGAGUGGAAGUGGGAGGAUUUCUUAGUCUUGCUAGCCAGUUACCCUGCCUACUUAGUAAGCUUAGGUGAGUGAGAGAGACCCUGCUUUAAAAAUACAGGGGCUCAUCUUCUGAGGAAUGACAACAGGGUUGGUGUCUGUCUUCCAUAAGCAGGUACAUAUGUACGUCUGCCCACCCCUCAACAAAACCUUUGGGAAGUAGUUCUUCCCAUCUUACCUUAUAAGUAAAAUAUAACUUACUACAAAUCUGCAACAAUACAACAAUAAAGAUAAAAGUAUGCCCUGGAAAAUCAUCUUUCUGAAGUUAGAGGUUCUAUAUAUAAAUGAGUGAGACACUGUUCACAUCCCAUGAAUGCAACCUGGAAAUGUACUAUUCUGGCCUCAAGUCAGGCAUAAAGGCCGUGCAUGUGCAUACACAGGUACAUGUACACUUCACAGUGUGCACAUGUGCACUUCACAGUGUAUACUUCACAGUGUGCACUUCACAUGUGCAUACACAGGCACAUGUGCACUUCACAGUGUGUACUUCACAUGUGCAUGCACAGGUACACUUCACAGUGUGCAUUUCACAUGUGCAUGCACAGGUACACUUCACAGUGUGCACUUCACGUGUGCAUGCACAGUACACUUCACAGUGUGCAUUUCACAUGUGCAUGCACAGGUACACUUCACAGUGUGCACUUCACAUGUGCAUAUACAGGUACAUGUGCACUUCACAGUGUGCAUUUCACAUGUGCAUGCACAGGUACAUGUGCACUUCACAGUGUGCAUUUCACAUGUGCAUGCACAGGCACAUGCGCACUUCACAGUGUGCAUUUCACAUGUGCAUGCACAGGCACAUGUGCACUUCACAGUGUGCAUUUCACAUGUGCAUGCACAGGCACAUGUGCUCUUCACAGUGUGCACUUCACAUGUGCAUACACAGGCACAUGUGCACUUCACAGUGUGCACUUCACAUGUACAUACACAGGCACAUGUGCACUUCACAGGGGUUACAUACUUACAAGUGAUCACAUGCUGGUGUUUUCUGAUUUGUGGUGUUGACUUAUAAAUGCCACUGUGUAAUUAAAAAGGAAUUAUUAGCAGCUUAACGACUUGGAUGCCAUGAGGAAGGUGAUAGAAACAUGAGAACCAAGAGUGAAGACAUACAUCCCAUUCAAAAAGACUCAGUGUUUUGUUUUUUGUUUUUGGUGGUGUGUGUGGAGGCCAGAGGUCAAUCUCAGGUGACUUUCUCUAUUGAUCUUCACUCUAAAAACAUUUAUUUAUGUCUUCAUUUGUUUGUUUGUUCACUUAUUUGUUUUUGGAACAGCAUCUCUCACUGAACCUAGAGUUCAUGUACUAGGCUAGGCUGUCCAGCGGUAAGGCCCUGGGUUCUUCUGUGUUCUGAUGACAUCUGGCUCCUUACCUGGUUGCUGGGCAUCUCAGUUCAGGUGCUCAGGCUUUUGCAGCAAGCCCUACUCACUGAGCCCUAUCCCCAGGCCCCUUAACCAUUUGUUUUUAAGUUCUAUGAUAACUGUUAAGAUACAGUGUUCCAAUUUUCUGAAUUCAUACCGGAUGCCCACUUGUAUAACCCCUGUGAAGUGUACAUGUACCUGUGUAUGCGCAUGCCUGGCCUUUGUUUCUGACUUGAGACUACAGUAGUACAUUUCCAGGUUGCAAUCAAGGGAUAUGAAUGGUGUCUCACUCAUUUAUACAUAGAAUUUCUAACUUCAGAAAGAUAAUUUUCCAGUGUACAUCUUUAUUGUUGUAUUAUUACAGAUUUGUGUGUAAAUUACAUUUUUUCUAUGUGGGUUAUCAUUUUCUUGUCCAAAUUUCUAAAUGGUUUAGAGGGAAAAAAAAUACACAGUUGGGAUUCAAGAACUGAAGGAGCUUCUGGGGAGCAUGGGCUCUGAUGUGGGCCUUCCCCAGCAGCCUUUGUGGCUUUGGGAGGCCUCAGGUUUCUCUUUAAAGAAGAUUUAUCCAACCCUGGGCUCCUUGAUAAACAAGGAAUUAAUUGGCUCCCAGGUAAGCCAGAAUUGAAAGCAUCAUUAUUAAUGGAGUCUGUUGACUUUGUUUAUUACAUGAUGUAGUCUUGUAGUGUGCUCACGGGCUUUGGUUCUGUUUGUUUGUUGUUUUUUUGUUUUGUGGGAGAUGGUAUGUAAGAAGAGUCAAUACAAAAGGCCCUCAUUGGAAAGUGUUUAAAAUUAUGAAGUGCUUCCAAACUGGUUUUGAAAGCUUCUCUGGGCUGAGAGCCAGUUGAUUGUUGUCAGUGUUCUUAUGUGACCGAGGUCAAGUGCUCAGAGCCUGAGCAACCGCAUUGGUUAAUGGCCCAGCCCUGUGCAGUGCUACAAUAUGAGAUCCUUUAAAAUGCUGCUGUGAUUGGAAUUUUAACAGAUGUGCUUCGAUUGGGCAAGAAUGUAAAAGCUAUUUUGGAGUAUGUUCAAAAGCACAUGGUUUCAAACAUUGUAACUUGUUAAUUUUCUCCCCUGUAAUGAAUGUAAUAAGACUGGGGUUUGUAUUAAGUUAAUGAAAAUAUUCAAAUGAGACUAGAAGAAAGGCAUUGUCUGUUUUGAGAGAGAUUUAGAGAAAAAAAGUAUACACUAGGGUUUCCAGAACUGAACGAGCUUCCAGGGAGCAUGUGGUCCUUCCCAGCAGCCUUUGUGGCUUUGGGAAGCCUCGGGUUUCUCAUUGAAGAAGAUUUAUCCAACCCUGGGCUCAUCCAACUUCCUUAUUCCUAAAAGUGUUUUUAGUACUGCAGUACAUUAAAGAAAUAAGCAUAGCAUAUUGAUUGGGGAACUCUAAGGAACUCUGCUAUUAAUCGGAGUUGAGGUAGGAGGGGCAGGGUAGAAUAGGGGCUAAAACUCGGCCCCAUAGUGUCGCAGCCUUGUCAUAGCACAGAUUUUACACAGUGGAAAAGAGGGCAGCCUGCUGCUCAGGUUUGGACACCAGUUUUACUCUCUGCAGCAGACAGAGUGUCAGAAAGUUUGAGUUUAUGCAGCAGCAUCUGCAGCGUCAUCCGUGUGUGUGCUCCAUGGCCUCCAUAGUCUGUUCUUCCUCAUCUCAUACUGGGCUGUUUCUCUUUUCUCCUGCCCUUUUCAGCCUUUGAGUUCACGCCACGCUGGGGUGGUAUGCCCACAGGUAGAUGUUGAGUAGGAGUGGCUUGUGUGUGUGUAAUGGACUUGCUUCUGCCGCCUUGCCGACCUGGAGCAGAGGCUAGGGAAACAUCAACAGCAGCUCUGGAGAGGGCUUGACACCGGCCCUUUGCAAUUUAUCUUAUUACCUCAGUAGAGUUCUGUUGCCUUUCAUUUUCUCAACAAACUCUAGAAACAAGCUAGUCGGGUAGUUAAUCCAAAUGAUUUCUGUUCUCAUUUAAAAGCUGAUGCAUUGAAAUGUGAACUAAGUCAAUUACUGUCACAGUGAGUUUCCCUGGACAUGGAAUUUGGAUGUGUGUAUUUCAUCAGACUCUUGCCUGUGAAGAUUACCAGUCUAUAUCUGUAUAACACUUUUCAUAUACUACAGAGCCCUAGAUCUGUCCUUAUAUAGUGCUGGCCUUUCGGUCUGGAGUAUUCUCCUAAGUCCAUUGUAUUGAAGGCUUGGUGCUAUGGGACCUGGUGGAAUCACUAGGGGUUGGGGUAGUGGACAAAAGUUAGACCAUUGGAGACAUAAUCUUAAAAAAGAUAUUUGGAUCUCAGCUGCUUCUUGGCUGCCAUGGGAUGAUUGCUAUGCUCUACCACCUACCUAUGGCCUCAUGGAAGAACCAACCAGACCAAUCAACCAAUCCACCUGACUGGAACCUUCAAAACUGUGAGCCAAAGGAAACCUUGUGUUCCUAAGUCAGAUCACCUCAGGUGUUCACCAUGCCACCAGAGAGUAGCAAGUACAUCAGCACCCGUGCUCUGCAUUUGUAUCUGAGGAGACCUGGCUGGAUUCCCCUUUCCAUUUCUGCUCUGCUUCCUUGGUACUUUAUUGCCAAGUUCAUACUCUCUAGACUCCGGCAGACAUGUUCAUAUCUUAGCUCUCUUCCCACAUUGGUUUCAGUGCAUUCAUCAACCUGAGAGAUUGUUUUUUAACUCACGGAGAUAUACUUGAGAGUGUUAAGCAUCCAGCCAGGGCACUACACAGGGAUAAGCCAAUAUCCUAGUGUUUGCAUGCUUGAGAAGAGAAGAUAGUUGGGGUGGGAGGGGGGUGGUCAUUAAUCUCUGAUUAUUCAUCACAAGUUGUUUGAAUUAUUGACAGUCUACUCAACACAUAUACUGACAUUACAUAGACAUACACACAUAUGUGUAUGUAAGCACAAAAAUGAAACUAUAAAGUUAAUUGAUGAAUCACGGAGUUUUUGACGCUGUGAAAUAAACAGGAACGGUACAUUUAUCAAAACAAUGCAUUCACAUAAAGCAGGAACUUUCCUAUUCUAGUUUGUCCUUCUAUGUGGCUCAGACUGAGUGAACUCCAGAGCAAGUGGGCCACAGAGUAGAGGUUGCCAAAGGAUCCAUGAUUGGAGAAGAGGACGAGGUCAUGCUUUCAUGCUGAGUCAUGUUCCCUGCCUGUACUGUGCGGGGACACAGGCAAGGGAUGCUGGUGUGCAGUAAUGAUGCGUGGGGGCAGUGCGGUCCUUAGCUGGAGUCUUGCUUCCUUCUCAGUUCACAAGCCCCUCCCCACUUCCUACACAGCAGGAUUCCUGGGCGUUAUGUGAGCAGUUCCAGAGCCCACAACAGGAAACUUCUUUUUCUUUUUUUGAUUUUUGGUACUGGGCAUGGAACUUAAUGCGUGUGCUUUCUAGUCAAGCAGUCUAUGCCUGUGCUAUCGACCUCAGCCCUCUUUUUACCUUUCAUUUUAAGACAUGGCCUCCUUAAGUUGCUCAGGCUGGCUUUGAACUCUCUUUGUAGUCAAGGUCGACCUUAAACUUGCCAUCCCCCUGCCUCAAUGUCCUGGAGUAGCUGGGAGGACGGGCCAGCCCCACCAGACGUGGUUCAGCAAGACUUUUGUAAGAAUAUAGUAUUUGCUGAUAGGCACCAUCCAUCCUGAAUUUGUUAGUGGCUGAUGGAUAGCAAAGCUUGUAGGAGCCCUCUUCUACAGGGCAAGGCAUUAUGAAAUUUUAUUUCUUUUGAGCAAUGUACUUUGUGAACAAAUCUUUGGAUAACUGAUCAGCACCUUACAUCUGCAAUAAAGAUAUCUGAGCCAAAGAGUAAAUAAAUGAAGGAAAAAUAAAUAUACUAACAGUUUACUCAUAUCCAGAAAUUAGUUAUCUCAGGGGGUGAUAUUGAGUAACUCGCCAUCAUUUAAUAAAUUAGAUAUUUUUCUUUAGGAAAUGAACCUUUUGUUAGUGAGCUACCCAGUAGUUUAUUCUGAUCACCCAGGCUGGCUACAGGAAAUUAGACAUUAAUUUAUUUCAUUUAAUGGUUAUGGUAUUUAAUUGCCUGUUAUGUCAGGCACUGUUGUAGGCAUCAGCUACACAAGGACCAAUGAGAAGAUUUCAUUCUCAGUGGGUUCCCAGGCUUGAGGCAGGGAGAACCAUGAAAGCAAAACUUCCAGCGACUUACUGUGUGCUUCAUAGACCAGACCUUAUGCGAGACUCUGUCAAAAGAGGUAGAUAGACCCUCCCUGUCAGCACUCUGAAGUGUCAGAAGAAUGAGUUAGGCAGGACUGAGCAGACAACUAGAUGCCAGAAAGAACUGAGUACAGGCUAGUGUUGUGGAAUGACCUAGGGAAAACUAUUGUGUACAUUUUAACUUUGUUUCAAACUAAUUUACUUUAUGUCUACAAUGUUGCUUUUUAUUUAUUUCACAUUAUUGUAAAAUGACCUUGUCUUUAAUUAUAAAGAUUGACACAUUGGGUUUUUUUAAAUUAUACUGUGAUGGUUACCUUAAAAAUGUUUUAUUUAUUUUAUUUAUACCACGGUGUACCUGUAUAUGUAUGCGUAUAUAUGUGUGAGUGUGUAUAUAUAUACACACACAAUGUGCAUACCUAAUUCCUUUAUAGGUCAUAAGAGGUCCCCUAGAACUGGGGUUAGAGAUGGCUGUGGGCUGAUGUAUGAGUGUUGAAAAUUGAACCUACAUCGUCUGCAAGCUCAGCAAGUGAUCUUAACUGCUGAGCUCUCUCUCCAGCCCAGCUGUUAUUUCUAAAGGAAAUUAUGAUCCGAAUUCUGCAAGACAAAUGGCUGGAAAAUAAUAUUUUUGAGUAUCUAAUCUUUCUUGUUCUGCAAGAAGGCUAUAAAGGAUUACUCUUUGUUUCUUACAUGUUGAUCAUACUUUUUAGGUACCCAUUUGCAUAAACUUACUGAUUUGACCUGGCCUCCAAUGAACUAUUAUCUUUCAAUGUGUAAGGCAAUAGUAUAGGGUCCUCUGUUUAUGAGCUGUUGUCUUUAAUACGUAUAUUUUAAUUUAUAAAAUAUGUAUAUUUUAAUUCAAGUUUUUAAAAAUUUGCAGGCUCUUGUAUUCAGUCAUGUUCAAUAAUAAUAUAUCAUAAAAUGGCCAUGUUAUUUAUUUACCAAAGGCAUGCAAUAUUUAUUUAGCAGUUUGCAGUUUUAGGAUAAUUGCGCAAUGCAGUUCCCCUUGCAUUUCAAAGAUCUAACUAGUUAAUUAGCUUAAGUGGUUCUGUCAAGUCUAUUGACAGUUGGCGGUCUAUAGUGCUGGCCUGUCAUGGGGCUAAUAUAAAACCCUUAAGAAUGGCUCUGCUGUGGUUAGCUUCCCCCUCAGCUUGAGAUAGGAGUUGGCUUUCUUUCUCAUGACAUUAAAACAAAAUCAGUUAAUAUAUACUGACCCUUUUGCUUCUGAAUACUGUGAUCCUUCCUGCUCAGUUUCAUGAUGGUGUUCUUCACCAAGACUGCACACAUCUUCAUACUGUUAAACAUCACUCUCCACUCCACUCCCACAUGAUGUUCUGCUUUAAGAUGCUGUUAUGUUUGGGUUUGGGGAUGCUCUUCAAGGCCCCUGGAGAGUCUGCAAGGAAAUGGCACCUGAUUGUAUAUAUGUCUCUGCUCUUUUGUCUGUGGCUUGUUGCUCAUGCAGUCAGGAGGUCUCGAUCUGCUAUGCCUCCACUACCUGGUCGGUGGCUGUAUGAGGAAGUUUGGAGAAUUGGCACCCUGUUUCUGUUAACCUUGAUCCAAGUUCAACACUUAACCCAAAUUGUAUAUUUAACACUUUAUUUGCCUGCAAAAUCUAUUCUUCAGGCAGGACAGGGGUAGAGCAAGUGGAAA